UGGGGAAUUUUGGACAAUGGGCGCAAGCCUGAUCCAGCAAUGCCGCGUGCAGGAUGAAGGCCUUCGGGUUGUAAACUGCUUUUGUACGGAACGAAACGGCUCUGGUUAAUACCUGGGGCUAAUGACGGUACCGUAAGAAUAAGCACCGGCUAACUACGUGCCAGCAGCCGCGGUAAUACGUAGGGUGCGAGCGUUAAUCGGAAUUACUGGGCGUAAAGCGUGCGCAGGCGGUUAUAUAAGACAGAUGUGAAAUCCCCGGGCUCAACCUGGGAACUGCAUUUGUGACUGUAUAGCUAGAGUACGGCAGAGGGGGACGGAAUUCCGCGUGUAGCAGUGAAAUGCGUAGAUAUGCGGAGGAACACCGAUGGCGAAGGCAAUCCCCUGGGCCUGUACUGACGCUCAUGCACGAAAGCGUGGGGAGCAAACA
Molecule: ribosomal RNA, 427 nt
Filed under: uncultured bacterium
Lineage: Bacteria
Description: bacterial SSU rRNA
Rfam family: Bacterial small subunit ribosomal RNA
Source: RNAcentral